GACUUAAAAGCUCUUUGAUAAAUAUCAAUAAAAUUCAACGUAACUUACAAUUAGGUCUCGAGACUUGUUUAUAAAGGAAAGUAACGACUCCUAAUCGAAGUAAAGAUUUGGUAUAAUCAUAAUCUACACAAACUAAUGAAUCCUAACUAAAUAAGAAGAAUAAGGCCUUAAGUAACGAACACAACAAAAGCCCAAUAAUGUGUUUGUUAAAACGAUUGAUCCUCAAGCAUGUGCUACAUCAGGUCUCUCCGGGUGAGGGAGGAUUCGACCACGAAUCCGCAGUGGCAUUAUCACCGUGAAAUGGAGAGAAAGGCUUGACGUUGAAAGCGUUGGACGUACGCAAAUAAUCCGGAAGACAAACACGAUAAGCAUUUGGGUUAAUCCGUUCAAGUACCUCGACAUGACCUAUUUUCCUCGACUUGAGCUUGUUAUACUCUCGCAGUGGAAGACGAUCCUUUGUAAGGACUACCCAGACCAAAUCACCGGGGUUCAAAAUCACCUCACCUCUCUUUAAGUUU
This 518-nucleotide long non-coding RNA is filed under the name Capsella rubella. Its description in RNAcentral is "long non-coding RNA (CRUB_LNC000636)". Lineage: Eukaryota; Viridiplantae; Streptophyta; Magnoliopsida; Brassicales; Brassicaceae. The record is from RNAcentral.